RNAcentral lists this ribosomal RNA (497 nucleotides) under uncultured bacterium. RNAcentral's name for it is "partial 16S ribosomal RNA". It matches the Rfam family "Bacterial small subunit ribosomal RNA", at positions 28 to 507 of the family's 1533-position model. The record is from RNAcentral.
GAUGAACGCUGGCGGCGUGCCUAAUACAUGCAAGUCGAGCGAACAGACGAGGAGCUUGCUCCUCUGACGUUAGCGGCGGACGAGUGAGUAACACGUGGAUAACCUACCUAUAAGACUGGGAUAACUUCGGGAAACCGGAGCUAAUACCGGAUAAUAUAUUGAACCGCAUGGUUCAAUAGUGAAAGACGGUUUUGCUGUCACUUAUAGAUGGAUCCGCGCCGCAUUAGCUAGUUGGUAAGGUAACGGCUUACCAAGGCAACGAUGCGUAGCCGACCUGAGAGGGUGAUCGGCCACACUGGAACUGAGACACGGUCCAGACACCUACGGGAGGCAGCAGUAGGGAAUCUUCCGCAAUGGGCGAAAGCUUGACGGAGCAACGCCGCGUGAGUGAUGAAGGUCUUCGGAUCGUAAAACUCUGUUAUUAGGGAAGAACAAAUGUGUAAGUAACUAUGCACGUCUUGACGGUACCUAAUCAGAAAGCCACGGCUAACUACGUG